Molecule: long non-coding RNA, 4633 nt
Filed under: Lactuca sativa (garden lettuce)
Lineage: Eukaryota; Viridiplantae; Streptophyta; Magnoliopsida; Asterales; Asteraceae
Description: long non-coding RNA (LSAT_LNC002791)
Source: RNAcentral
ACAUAUUCCACAACUUGGUGAGGAUUAUUUAUUCUAAAUAAUUUUUUGUCAAAAAGUCGUUUUCGACCCCUAUUGCCUCCAAAUUGACUAGCCCGGAUCUGCGGGCGUUACAAUUAUCUCCCGCUUAGGAUGAUUAUGUCCCGGAAUCAUCAACGAAAUAGGGCUCGUAUAAUGAAUCCAUACGUCAUCUCUUCAUCCUAGGUAAUAAUUAUAACUUCUAUAUUCCUUCAAGUCUAUCUCUCAGACUUAUUGACUGUAAGCAGUACUCGAUCGUGCACAUGCUUUCUAUCUCAGGUUAGACUANUCAUCGUAUGUUGCAACACUUAGACUUAGGUCUCUUAGAGUUAAAUUCUAAAACAGACUAUGCCUUCCUUCAUGUUCUAAUGUGAUAUAAUCACACUUUAACAUUAGGCAUUUCUAGCCACCAACUUCUUUAACAACGAGUGUGAUACUUCUAUUGAUCGCUUUGAUUUCAACCGUUUGGUUUAAGUCGGACGCUACAUCAAACUUGGUUCUCUGAACCACACAACAUACUCAUCGUAGUCGGACUCAAUUUGAUAUGACCACUAGGGUCGGAAUAUCAACAAUCUUCUUAGUCAUUACCGAAACGAUGGUAACAACACACUUGAAUAAAACGAAAUCAAUUACUAGCUUCUUGGUAACCUUGUGACCUUCCCAGAUCCAAGUGUGAUUCAUGUGCUUCCGGUAGUAUAGGCCUCUACUACCAUUCACACCUACUCAUACUUGUCCCAAGUAUUGUCUCGCAGUUUUCCAGGUCAUCAUGCAAGAAAUCACAUAGCAGUUUAACACGUCAGAUAACUAAACGAAGGCUUUAUUAUUAUUUCUUGAAACUAUUACAUAGGUGUUCAAGUUCACCCUAUACUAUGCCUCUAAUAGGUUACACCACAUGGUACUAUCUACAUGACUACUUCAUAACUCGAUCUUUGGAUGUCAAUCCUUCACUCCUGAAUCCUUGCAUUGUCAUCUGCUUCGUCAAGGAUCAUUUGAAAUGCUCUCGCCUUUGGCUUUGGCGGCACAUUUGGCUUUAUAGCCCCUUCUCUCUUUGGGCAAUCUUGCUUGAAGUUCUAUUCCUCAUUACAUUCGUAACACACCCUUUUGUUGAAUUUACACUCGUUCGCAUAAUGCCCAUACUUCCCACACUUGAAACAAGUCACCUCCUCAUCGCAUUUUCCAAAGUGUUUCUUUUUGCACUUCUCACACCAUCUUUCCUCACUCCCUCCUCCUCUAAACUUCCUUGUACUGGACUUGCUUCUCUCAUCGGGCUUCGCAAACCCCUCAAACUUCCUCUUUUAGUCAACCUCGGUCUUGUUGGCGGCUCUUCCCUUGAUCAUCUCCUCAACCGACUUGGCAGCCCAGAUAGCUGCCUCCAAAGUAGGUGCCUGACGUACUGGCACCGCGUACUCCCAUGAGAGUCCUAUUGCAUACUUGUCGAUUUUUGUCAGCUCAUCCGGAACAAGACGUAAGGCGAACUCCAUCUUCUCUGUGAAGUUGUUGGUGUAUUCAUCAAUAGACAUGCUUCCUUUCAUCAAGGUUAGGAAUUGGUUUUCUAGCUCGAGCAGAUUUUGGGCUGAGCAGUACCUACGUUUGAACUGCACCAAAAACUCUGCCCACGUCAGUUGCAGGGGCCCAUUGGGGCUUCGAGUCUUCCCCAGAAUGUUCCACCAACGAACCGCCUCCUCUGAACUGGCGUACCGCAAACGUGGUUUAUAGUUUGCCUCUGCAACCACAUGUCAUGAAAGCUAACUCCAUCUCGGAGAUCCAAUCCAUGACCCCAAUCGGAUCUUCCUUUCCAGUGAAAGUCGAUGGCUUGCAAGUCAGAAAAUCCUUGUACUUGCAUCCAUUCCUCUCAUCUCCAUCACCUUGGUUGUUUUGUCGAACUAUUGGUGGGUUGACUUGACCAACGGUUCCACUAUUGUUCCCCUCCUCAGUCUGCCCUUCGUUCAACUCAGGCUGUUCGAUCUAUAUGGUCGCUUCCUCUCGAUUUUGUUGGAGCAAACGUCUGGUUUCCUCCAUUUGAUGAUCCACCAUCGCCUGGAUCAUCGCUUGCACUCUGGCCAUCGUUAUUGGCUCAGCAGCAGCCACCACAACCGGUAUUUGCUCAAUCACUGAAGGAUGAUCUCGGUUCCCAUUUGCAUUCACGUUUCCGCUACGGGUCCUUGCCAUCUUGAUCUAUACGCCGAAUAAGGUGAAUCUAGAUCUUUAUUUAGGAUUGACAUUUAAAUCAUCCUUAUCACCUCGAAACGUUUAUAUGCUAGUUCUAAUAUCGUAGUUAAAUGCUUAGAAUCCUAAACACAUAAGGUUUCCAAAUCCGGUCGGCAAUAGACCAUAGAUUCGAACAAAUAGCAGCAUAUCAGGCACAAGCAUUUAGCACAUAAAAGCAUUUUAGGCACAAUCCCUAAAAUAAUCUAGUGCUCACACCUCACAAUCAUUGCUUAUCAUUCUAAGUUUAAGUCUAGAAAUAAAUCCAUAUUCCUAGUUCGCUUAAACUAAUGCUCUGAUACUAACUGUGACAUCCCCAUUUUCACGGCCAGAAAAGACCGAUUUUGUUUAUACUUUAUAAAAAUCAGAGUAUCUCUUUUAAUAAAAAUGUUGCGGAAUUUGUUCCCAGAAAAACAUGAUAAUCGCGUUAUCAAAGCAUUUCUAAAGAAAUAUAUUUUUAUUCACUUUUAAAACAUUUGGGAUGUCAUCGUCAAUACAGAAACAUAAGCAUAAACAGAACUUACAUUCAUUUUACACUAGUGAUCUACAUCUCUUUUAAAUCUCUGAGUGUAAUGUCACUUCAUAUCGACACCUGUGAUAUAAAUAAACUGAGCGGGUCAGGUUUGGAAACCUAGUGAGUACAUAGGGUUUUCAACCCAGAAUAAUAUAAUUAUUAUGUUAAACAAUCAAACAAUCAACCUAAUUACCCAUCCCCAUUAUCUUCUUUAUUCUUAAUGAUCUACCCUAAGAAUCAACUAUUUCUUGUUCAUUCAUUCCUAAAGAUUUUCCUAAGGAAUAGGUACGAAGUCCAUCGUUGUAAAUGACACAUCUGUCAAGCACAACUGCUAGUUCUGUCACUUAGGCACGACUGCCAAAAUUGUGACAUCCUCUAUGGGGCGCAUCUGCCGGAAUAGUCCGUUUAGGCGCAUCUGCCGGGGUUAUGAGGUUCUCUAUUAGGCGCUUCUGCCGGUAGAGUCCUUUAGGCGCAUCUGCCAGGGUUUUAUUAACAGUAUCGUUUUCGAGAGUCCAGUCGCAAUACAUAUCAAUGGUUUUUUAGAGUACACCUGGUGAAUACAUAGUUCAAAACACCUACGGGUUGCGAGCCUGCUAGUGUCCACUGGACUGUCUAGAAUAGUCCGUGGUUGUCAUCCAUACUCUGCUGGAUGACGUGGCCAUCACUUGGGUAAAAGGAUUCUCUCAUGGUUCACCUCUCACCCUUACCUCAUGGUCUAUAUCACCUCUUCAUCAUUUUAUUUUUUUGUCACACAGAAACUAUUUCAUCUACCCAUGUUUUACCCAACACAUUUUGUAGAUAUAAAAUACAUAUACUGUUUAAAUCAUUUAAAACGUGUAUAAAAUCGUUCAUCCAACAUAAAUAGCAAGUAUAUAGAUAAUAUGCACACACAACACGUAUAAAAUACUUCAUAUAUAUGUAUAAGCUGAAAGUAACUAUGCACUCACCUGAUUAGGCGGUGACUCGUCACUCAGACAGCACUUCGUUACUCUUAAAACAAUUUCCUCGACAAAACCUAGUUUCAAUAUAACUAGGGUUUAGUCUGACGUUAACCACGGCUAAUUAAUAGUCCAACUAUUAUUAUUAUAAUAUAAGCGUUAAAUAAUACUCAAUAUAACUCAUAAUAAUAGCCCAAAUAAUUGUUUUAAGGUCCUAAUAAUGUUACUAUAAUUAAUUAGAAGCUAUAUUAAAAAUAGCGUAGGCGUAGCUCACUUAUAGCGAGUUUUUCGCAAAAACCGGGCUUCGCUGGAGCAGCGUUCUCGAGCCGAAAGUCUCUUCUUCUCAGAGCCGUCGGGCGCUCCAGGGCUUCUGCCUCGUGCUAGGGAGGUUCCCUAGCUUUUCGGGGGGUUUCGGGGGCUAGAGAGAGGUUCUAGAGAGAGAGGAAGAAGUAGGAAGGUGUGAGAAUGAAUAGAGGUCUCACCACUUCUUUAUACGGGUUGGAGGAAGGUUCAUGUUCUUGAAUCUCUUGAUGUUCACGUCGUGAGUGAGCUUGGGCUCCAANAGAAAGCCUUGGCCCAUAUUUAGCCACGUCACCCCUUUUGCAGCAGCACCCUGCCGACUUCUAAAUCCUGUAACUUUCGCAUACGAGCUCCAUUUUUGACGUUCUUUUUUUCCACGUGUAGGUAAAAUCAAGAUCCACAACUUUCAUUUAGACUCCGUAGGCUAAUUCUCAACCGAUCUUAAAUUUAAUAGUAGGAGGCGUUUAGACUGUUAAAUGACUGCGAAGAAUUCGUAACUCCUUGAUACGGACUCCGUUUUCGUCUAUCUUUUUCUGUUGAGUUCCUAUUAAUGAGAUCUUCAACUCUCAUUUAGGUCACGUAAGCCAAAAACCGCUCAAACUAAAAUUCGAGUUUCGGGUCGUGCACUGUUAAGCCAAAUCUUAAAAAAAUCAUAACUUCC